RNAcentral lists this ribosomal RNA (253 nucleotides) under uncultured bacterium. Its description in RNAcentral is "partial 16S ribosomal RNA". It matches the Rfam family "Bacterial small subunit ribosomal RNA", at positions 524 to 776 of the family's 1533-position model. The record is from RNAcentral.
UACGUAGGGUGCAAGCGUUAAUCGGAAUUACUGGGCGUAAAGCGUGCGCAGGCGGUUGUGCAAGACAGAUGUGAAAUCCCCGGGCUCAACCUGGGAACUGCACUUGAAACUACGAUGCUGGAGUAUGGCAGAGGGAGGUGGAAUUCCACGUGUAGCGGUGAAAUGCGCAGAUAUCAGGAAGAACACCCGUGGCGAAGGCGGCUCUCUGGGACGGUACUGACGCUGAGACGCGAAAGCGUGGGGAGCAAACAGG